This 492-nucleotide ribosomal RNA is filed under the name uncultured bacterium. RNAcentral's name for it is "partial 16S ribosomal RNA". It matches the Rfam family "Bacterial small subunit ribosomal RNA", at positions 29 to 507 of the family's 1533-position model. The record is from RNAcentral.
AGUGAACGCUGGCGGUAGGCCUAACACAUGCAAGUCGAACGGCAGCACAGUAAGAGCUUGCUCUUACGGGUGGCGAGUGGCGGACGGGUGAGGAAUACAUCGUCAUCUACUUUUUCGUGGGGGAUAACGUAGGGAAACUUACGCUAAUACCGCAUACGACCUACGGGUGAAAGCAGGGGAUCUUCGGACCUUGCGCGAAUGCAUGAGCCGAUGUCGGAUUAGCUAGUUGGCGGGUUAAAGGCCCACCAAGGCGACGAUCCGUAGCUGGUCUGCGAGGAGGAUCAGCAACACGGGAACUGAGACACGGUCCAGACCCCUACGGGAGGCAGCAGUGGGGAAUAUUGGACAAUGGGCGAAAGCCGGAUCCAGCCAGACCGCGGGGGUGAGGAAGGCCUUCGGGUUGUAAAGCCCGUUUGUUGGGAAAGAAAAGCAGCAGGUUAAAACCCCGCCGUUCUGACGGUACCCAAAGAAUAAGCACCGGCUAACUUCGUG